This 126-nucleotide small RNA is filed under the name Marmota monax (woodchuck). Lineage: Eukaryota; Metazoa; Chordata; Mammalia; Rodentia; Sciuridae. The record is from RNAcentral.
GCUGGGUGCGGUGGCUCACACCUGUAAUCCCAGCGGCUUGGGAGGCUGAAGGCAGGAGGAUUACAAGUUCAAAGCCAGCCUCCGCAAAAGUGAGGUGCUAAACAACUCAGUGAGUCCCUGUCUCUA